UACGUAGGGGGCAAGCGUUGUCCGGAAUUAUUGGGCGUAAAGAGCUCGUAGGCGGUUUGUCGCGUCUGCUGUGAAAACCCGAGGCUCAACCUCGGGCCUGCAGUGGGUACGGGCAAACUAGAGUACGGUAGGGGAGAAUGGAAUUCCUGGUGUAGCGGUGGAAUGCGCAGAUAUCAGGAGGAACACCGAUGGCGAAGGCAGUUCUCUGGGCCGUAACUGACGCUGAGGAGCGAAAGCGUGGGGAGCGAACAGG
This 253-nucleotide ribosomal RNA is filed under the name uncultured bacterium. RNAcentral describes it as "partial 16S ribosomal RNA". It matches the Rfam family "Bacterial small subunit ribosomal RNA", at positions 524 to 776 of the family's 1533-position model. The record is from RNAcentral.